RNAcentral lists this long non-coding RNA (262 nucleotides) under Sander lucioperca (pikeperch). Its description in RNAcentral is "lncRNA (ENSSLUG00000022525.1)". Lineage: Eukaryota; Metazoa; Chordata; Actinopteri; Perciformes; Percidae. The record is from RNAcentral.
CUACCACGUUUUUCCCCUAACAAAGCCAGCCUGUGUUGUUCUUUUAAGAGGAUUCUUUUCCAGCAACAUCUACAAGGGCCUUCCUCAACAAAGACCUCUGGAGUUUUUUGCUUUUUAAUUCCUUUUGUUUGAAAGAAAGAAAGAGACUGCGUUUUUGCAACUAUGCAUACAUGUGGUACUGUGUCUAGACAACCCCCCCCGGGGAACAAAGGAUUCGGACGAAGGAUCGAUGCCUUAAGCAUAAGAAGAGAGCUGCUGCGGU